UCUGGAGGUGGCGACCGGCGCACGGGUGAGUAACACGUAUGACAACCUGCCUGUAAGCGGGGAAGUAACCCGUUGAAAGACGGACUAAUACCGCAUAAUACUAAAUUACUGCAUGGUAAUUUAUUUAAACAUUUAUGGCUUACAGAUGGGCAUGCGCAUGAUUAGCUAGUUGGAGAGGUAACGGCUACCCCAAGGCAACGAUCAUUAGGGGUUCUGAGAGGAAGGUCCCCCCACACUGGUACUGAGACACGGACCAGACUCCUACGGGGGGCAGCAGUGAGGAAUAUUGGUCAAUGGACGAGAGUCUGAACCAGCCAAGUCGCGUGCAGGAAGAAUGUUCCCUAUGGAUUGUAAACUGCUUUUGCAAGGGGAAUAAAGUGCAUCACGUGUGAUGUUUUGGUAUGUACUCUGCGAAUAAGGAUCGGCUAACUCCGUGCCAGCCGCCGC
Molecule: ribosomal RNA, 447 nt
Filed under: uncultured bacterium
Lineage: Bacteria
Description: bacterial SSU rRNA
Rfam family: Bacterial small subunit ribosomal RNA
Source: RNAcentral